CCUACGGGUGGCAGCAGUGGGGGAUAUUGCACAAUGGGGGAAACCCUGAUGCAGCGACGCCGCGUGAGCGAGGAAGUAUUUCGGUAUGUAAAGCUCUGUCAGCAGGGAAGAAGAAUGACGGUACCUGAAGCAGAAGCACCGACUAAAUACGUGGCAGCAGCCGCGGUAAUACGGAGGGUGCAAGGGUUAUCCGGAUUUAUUGGGGUUAAAGGGUGCGUAGGCGGAAUGCCAAGUCAGCGGUAAAAUCGCGGGGCUCAACCUCGCUCCGCCGUUGAAACUGGCGUUCUUGAGUGGGCGAGAAGUAUGCGGAAUGCGUGGUGUAGCGGUGAAAUGCAUAGAUAUCACGCAGAACUCCGAUUGCGAAGGCAGCAUACCGGCGCCCAACUGACGCUGAAGCACGAAAGCGUGGGUAUCGAACAGGAUUAGAUACCCUAGUAGUC
This 440-nucleotide ribosomal RNA is filed under the name uncultured bacterium. Its description in RNAcentral is "partial 16S ribosomal RNA". It matches the Rfam family "Bacterial small subunit ribosomal RNA", at positions 338 to 795 of the family's 1533-position model. The record is from RNAcentral.